UUGAGAAAUUAUUGAAAUUAUUAUGGAAUUUCAAAAUGUUCUUUAUUAAAAGUGCACUGGAAUAAAAAUGUUAAAGUCUUUAACGUUGGUUAUGUAUUAUGAAUUAUCAAAGAACAACAAUGUAGAAUGUAUAUGUUUAGUAUUAAUAUACAGUUGUUCAUUAUUAUUUAGUGUUUGUUGAUAAUACAUUACAACUAAUGUACAAAAGUUUAGACAACCUCGUCUGCAGUUCUCAUUGUUAACUGAUGGAGUGAAUCUUCUGGUGACCUCAGAUGGGGGUUACCCUUCUCCUACACUGCAGUGGCUGAUGCAGAACUCAGACAUCACUAACCGGACACAAACACACAUUGCACAGGACACACAGACAGGACUUUAUGUUGUGUCUAGUUGGUUAAAUCUCACCAAAGGCACUAAAACCUUUCUUACAUUCAUACUCCACAACAACCCCCUGGGACAAGACCUCAGGAGAGACAUCCAACUGGAUUUAGAUAAGGGUGAGAGGCAAGGAGAGUCAGCAUACAGAUGUCAUGGGUGCUUCAUAUAUAUCCCAGUUAUUCUGCUGGUGCUGAUCGUGAUGAGUGUAUUGUCUGUGUUUAUUACAAGAAGAAGUAGAAGAGAACAGACAAAACAAAAUGGCUUUACGGAAAUUAAAUCCAAAUUCUUAAUGGAAAAUGUUUAAUAUGUCCAUAAUAGUUAUGUUACAAAACCACUUCAACUAACAGUUAUCCUUUUUAUGAAACUUAUGACUGACAAGAGAACAGACCAAACUAAAUGGCUUUACGGAAAUAGGGUUCCAUUCUGAAAUUCAGCUGCUUAACAGAAAAAGUAAAAUGGGACUCAAAUUCUCAGUGGAAAACAACCCAGUGGGGUUUGAAGGAGACGUGGAAUGUAAAAGAUCACCAUGAUAUGUAAACUUUUAAAUAUUAAAAUUGAAUAUGUUUAAUGUUAUCUUCAUCAGACACAUAAGCUCACCAUCUGUAAUACAGGACAUACUGCCUGGUUUAAGUAACAUUUGCCAUAUCCUUACUGUAGAAACCCUCCUCCAUUUAAUUUUACUAUUUAUUGUAUAUAUGAUUUUUUGUAUAAUUCCUGUGCAGUGUGAUUGUGGUAAGGAGGGACAGAGUUGAAGAGUGUAUUGGAAGUAGUUGUUUGUCAUAAUUUUGGACCACAGUAUUGGCAUCACAACAUCUUGUGUGUGUACUGUGUACUGUAAAAUUUGUAUAGUUUAUUA
This is a long non-coding RNA of Cyprinus carpio (common carp), 1231 nucleotides long. RefSeq lists it as uncharacterized. The transcript is spliced from 2 exons. Lineage: Eukaryota; Metazoa; Chordata; Actinopteri; Cypriniformes; Cyprinidae. The record is from RefSeq and is a predicted model, not a curated record.